This 458-nucleotide ribosomal RNA is filed under the name uncultured bacterium. Its description in RNAcentral is "partial 16S ribosomal RNA". It matches the Rfam family "Bacterial small subunit ribosomal RNA", at positions 338 to 795 of the family's 1533-position model. The record is from RNAcentral.
CCUACGGGUGGCAGCAGUGAGGAAUAUUGGUCAAUGGGCGAGAGCCUGAACCAGCCAAGUCGCGUGAGGGAGUACUGCCCUAUGGGUUGUAAACCUCUUUUGUCGGGGAGCAAAAGCCGGACGUGUCCGGCUGUGAGAGUACCCGAAGAAAAAGCAUCGGCUAACUCCGUGCCAGCAGCCGCGGUAAUACGGAGGAUGCGAGCGUUAUCCGGAUUUAUUGGGUUUAAAGGUUGCGCAGGCGGCUUGUUAAGUCAGCGGUAAAAUCGUGGGGCUCAACCCCAUCCAGCCGUUGAAACUGGGGAUCUAGAGUGUGCGAGAGGUAUGCGGAAUGCGUGGUGUAGCGGUGAAAUGCAUAGAUAUCACGCCGAACCCCGAUUGCGAAGGCAGCAUACCGGUGCACAACUGACGCUCAGGCACGAAAGCGUGGGUAUCGAACAGGAUUAGAUACCCUUGUAGUC